UACAGAGGUCUCAAGCGUUGUUCGGAUUCAUUGGGCGUAAAGGGUGUGUAGGUGGCGCGCUAAGUCGGGUGUGAAAUUUCGGAGCUUAACUCCGAAACUGCAUUCGAUACUGGCGUGCUUGAGGACUGGAGAGGAGACUGGAAUUCCUGGUGUAGCGGUGAAAUGCGCAGAUAUCAGGAGGAACACCGGUGGCGAAGGCGGGUCUCUGGGACGGUACUGGACGCUGAGACGCGAAAGCGUGGGGAGCGAACAGG
Molecule: ribosomal RNA, 254 nt
Filed under: uncultured bacterium
Lineage: Bacteria
Description: partial 16S ribosomal RNA
Rfam family: Bacterial small subunit ribosomal RNA
Source: RNAcentral